AAGAAGAAGAUACAUCAACAAUAUUAUUUUGUUAGUCUAUCGUUACCAAAAUUUGUAUUGAUCUCUUUCAUCAUGAAUAAUUCUGAUCCUAGAAACACAUCCAACGGUAUAGGAUACAAGCAAUCACCUUCGGAUAAAAAGAAGGAUGAGAAGGAUGACAAAAAGAAGGGUGAAAAGCAAGGUGGAAAGAAGAAGAGUGUUCAAGGUGGUCUUUCUCCUAAUUAAUCUCCAAACAAUCGAGGUUCAUUAAUUUGGAAUUGGGAUUGAUGCACGAAGAACAUUAGCAGCAGCAUAGACUAAUGUUGGUUAAAGAUUACUCUUUUAUUUCUUGAAAUGUUCGUUUAGUAAGUGGUCUAGAUUUACAACUUAAGAGGUCAUGAGUUGUUACUGAAUUGAAUUGGUUAUAAAUUUGUUUUAUUGCAAAUACCUUGUACGAUAUGAAGGUUUAUUAAUAAUAAAUUGGUGUUUUUAUUUAUUUA
Molecule: long non-coding RNA, 479 nt
Organism: Glycine soja
Lineage: Eukaryota; Viridiplantae; Streptophyta; Magnoliopsida; Fabales; Fabaceae
Exons: 2
Source: RefSeq, a predicted model, not a curated record